UACGUAGGGUGCGAGCGUUGUCCGGAAUUAUUGGGCGUAAAGAGCUCGUAGGCGGUUUGUUGCGUCUAUCGUGAAAACCUGCAGCUUAACUGUGGGCUUGCGGUGGAUACGGGCAGACUUGAGUUUGGUAGGGGAGACUGGAAUUCCUGGUGUAGCGGUGAAAUGCGCAGAUAUCAGGAGGAACACCGGUGGCGAAGGCGGGUCUCUGGGCCGGUACUGACGCUGAGGAGCGAAAGCAUGGGGAGCGAACAGG
This 253-nucleotide ribosomal RNA is filed under the name uncultured bacterium. RNAcentral describes it as "partial 16S ribosomal RNA". It matches the Rfam family "Bacterial small subunit ribosomal RNA", at positions 524 to 776 of the family's 1533-position model. The record is from RNAcentral.